GGUUAAGCGACUAAGCGUACACGGUGGAUGCCCUGGCAGUCAGAGGCGAUGAAGGACGUGCUAAUCUGCGAUAAGCGUCGGUAAGGUGAUAUGAACCGUUAUAACCGGCGAUUUCCGAAUGGGGAAACCCAGUGUGUUUCGACACACUAUCAUUAACUGAAUCCAUAGGUUAAUGAGGCGAACCGGGGGAACUGAAACAUCUAAGUACCCCGAGGAAAAGAAAUCAACCGAGAUUCCCCCAGUAGCGGCGAGCGAACGGGGAGCAGCCCAGAGCCUGAAUCAGUGUGUGUGUUAGUGGAAGCGUCUGGAAAGGCGCGCGAUACAGGGUGACAGCCCCGUACACAAAAAUGCACAUGCUGUGAGCUCGAUGAGUAGGGCGGGACACGUGGUAUCCUGUCUGAAUAUGGGGGGACCAUCCUCCAAGGCUAAAUACUCCUGACUGACCGAUAGUGAACCAGUACCGUGAGGGAAAGGCGAAAAGAACCCCGGCGAGGGGAGUGAAAAAGAACCUGAAACCGUGUACGUACAAGCAGUGGGAGCACGCUUAGGCGUGUGACUGCGUACCUUUUGUAUAAUGGGUCAGCGACUUAUAUUCUGUAGCAAGGUUAACCGAAUAGGGGAGCCGAAGGGAAACCGAGUCUUAACUGGGCGUUAAGUUGCAGGGUAUAGACCCGAAACCCGGUGAUCUAGCCAUGGGCAGGUUGAAGGUUGGGUAACACUAACUGGAGGACCGAACCGACUAAUGUUGAAAAAUUAGCGGAUGACUUGUGGCUGGGGGUGAAAGGCCAAUCAAACCGGGAGAUAGCUGGUUCUCCCCGAAAGCUAUUUAGGUAGCGCCUCGUGAACUCAUCUCCGGGGGUAGAGCACUGUUUCGGCAAGGGGGUCAUCCCGACUUACCAACCCGAUGCAAACUGCGAAUACCGGAGAAUGUUAUCACGGGAGACACACGGCGGGUGCUAACGUCCGUCGUGAAGAGGGAAACAACCCAGACCGCCAGCUAAGGUCCCAAAGUCAUGGUUAAGUGGGAAACGAUGUGGGAAGGCCCAGACAGCCAGGAUGUUGGCUUAGAAGCAGCCAUCAUUUAAAGAAAGCGUAAUAGCUCACUGGUCGAGUCGGCCUGCGCGGAAGAUGUAACGGGGCUAAACCAUGCACCGAAGCUGCGGCAGCGACACUAUGUGUUGUUGGGUAGGGGAGCGUUCUGUAAGCCUGCGAAGGUGUACUGUGAGGUAUGCUGGAGGUAUCAGAAGUGCGAAUGCUGACAUAAGUAACGAUAAAGCGGGUGAAAAGCCCGCUCGCCGGAAGACCAAGGGUUCCUGUCCAACGUUAAUCGGGGCAGGGUGAGUCGACCCCUAAGGCGAGGCCGAAAGGCGUAGUCGAUGGGAAACAGGUUAAUAUUCCUGUACUUGGUGUUACUGCGAAGGGGGGACGGAGAAGGCUAUGUUGGCCGGGCGACGGUUGUCCCGGUUUAAGCGUGUAGGCUGGUUUUCCAGGCAAAUCCGGAAAAUCAAGGCUGAGGCGUGAUGACGAGGCACUACGGUGCUGAAGCAACAAAUGCCCUGCUUCCAGGAAAAGCCUCUAAGCAUCAGGUAACAUCAAAUCGUACCCCAAACCGACACAGGUGGUCAGGUAGAGAAUACCAAGGCGCUUGAGAGAACUCGGGUGAAGGAACUAGGCAAAAUGGUGCCGUAACUUCGGGAGAAGGCACGCUGAUAUGUAGGUGAAGCGACUUGCUCGUGGAGCUGAAAUCAGUCGAAGAUACCAGCUGGCUGCAACUGUUUAUUAAAAACACAGCACUGUGCAAACACGAAAGUGGACGUAUACGGUGUGACGCCUGCCCGGUGCCGGAAGGUUAAUUGAUGGGGUCAGCGCAAGCGAAGCUCUUGAUCGAAGCCCCGGUAAACGGCGGCCGUAACUAUAACGGUCCUAAGGUAGCGAAAUUCCUUGUCGGGUAAGUUCCGACCUGCACGAAUGGCGUAAUGAUGGCCAGGCUGUCUCCACCCGAGACUCAGUGAAAUUGAACUCGCUGUGAAGAUGCAGUGUACCCGCGGCAAGACGGAAAGACCCCGUGAACCUUUACUAUAGCUUGACACUGAACAUUGAGCCUUGAUGUGUAGGAUAGGUGGGAGGCUUGGAAGUGUGGACGCCAGUCUGCAUGGAGCCGACCUUGAAAUACCACCCUUUAAUGUUUGAUGUUCUAACGUUGACCCGUAAUCCGGGUUGCGGACAGUGUCUGGUGGGUAGUUUGACUGGGGCGGUCUCCUCCUAAAGAGUAACGGAGGAGCACGAAGGUUGGCUAAUCCUGGUCGGACAUCAGGAGGUUAGUGCAAUGGCAUAAGCCAGCUUGACUGCGAGCGUGACGGCGCGAGCAGGUGCGAAAGCAGGUCAUAGUGAUCCGGUGGUUCUGAAUGGAAGGGCCAUCGCUCAACGGAUAAAAGGUACUCCGGGGAUAACAGGCUGAUACCGCCCAAGAGUUCAUAUCGACGGCGGUGUUUGGCACCUCGAUGUCGGCUCAUCACAUCCUGGGGCUGAAGUAGGUCCCAAGGGUAUGGCUGUUCGCCAUUUAAAGUGGUACGCGAGCUGGGUUUAGAACGUCGUGAGACAGUUCGGUCCCUAUCUGCCGUGGGCGCUGGAGAACUGAGGGGGGCUGCUCCUAGUACGAGAGGACCGGAGUGGACGCAUCACUGGUGUUCGGGUUGUCAUGCCAAUGGCACUGCCCGGUAGCUAAAUGCGGAAGAGAUAAGUGCUGAAAGCAUCUAAGCACGAAACUUGCCCCGAGAUGAGUUCUCCCUGACUCCUUGAGAGUCCUGAAGGAACGUUGAAGACGACGACGUUGAUAGGCCGGGUGUGUAAGCGCAGCGAUGCGUUGAGCUAACCGGUACUAAUGAACCGUGAGGCUUAACCUU
This 2903-nucleotide ribosomal RNA is filed under the name Escherichia coli. RNAcentral's name for it is "23S ribosomal RNA". It matches the Rfam family "Bacterial large subunit ribosomal RNA". Lineage: Bacteria; Pseudomonadati; Pseudomonadota; Gammaproteobacteria; Enterobacterales; Enterobacteriaceae. The record is from RNAcentral.